CAAAGCAUAGCUUAAACUAAAGCACCUAGUUUACACCUAGAAGAUCCCAUAAUAUAUGGGUACUUUGAACC
RNAcentral lists this transfer RNA (71 nucleotides) under Sus scrofa (pig). RNAcentral describes it as "tRNA-Val". It matches the Rfam family "tRNA". From Rfam's summary of the family: Transfer RNA (tRNA) molecules are approximately 80 nucleotides in length. Their secondary structure includes four short double-helical elements and three loops (D, anti-codon, and T loops). Further hydrogen bonds mediate the characteristic L-shaped molecular structure. tRNAs have two regions of fundamental functional importance: the anti-codon, which is responsible for specific mRNA codon recognition, and the 3' end, to which the tRNAs corresponding amino acid is attached (by aminoacyl-tRNA synthetases). tRNAs cope with the degeneracy of the genetic code in two manners: having more than one tRNA (with a specific anti-codon) for a particular amino acid; and 'wobble' base-pairing, i.e. permitting non-standard base-pairing at the 3rd anti-codon position. The record is from RNAcentral. Lineage: Eukaryota; Metazoa; Chordata; Mammalia; Artiodactyla; Suidae.